Heterocephalus glaber (naked mole-rat) is the source of this 289-nucleotide long non-coding RNA. Lineage: Eukaryota; Metazoa; Chordata; Mammalia; Rodentia; Bathyergidae. The record is from Ensembl.
CACACCGUUCCCGACCAACCACAUCCUGCCAUUCCACCCACGGUGAACCCAGCUCCAAGUACUGCUUCUAUCUUCCCCUUGUUCCGUGCACUCCAGCUCCAUACCACCUGUUCUGUGGUUUCCUAGUGUACCUAGGACGUGACUAUGGGAGGUGGCAUGUAGUAGGCACCAGGCUGAAAAUCUAUGAAGCACAAGAAAAGUACAGAUUCCUCCCCAAACAUAGUGUGAACACACAGUCAGAAAAAGAGCAGGGCAGAAUAAAGAAAUCAUACCCCAGCUUCACACAGAG